RNAcentral lists this ribosomal RNA (253 nucleotides) under uncultured prokaryote. Its description in RNAcentral is "partial 16S ribosomal RNA". It matches the Rfam family "Bacterial small subunit ribosomal RNA", at positions 525 to 777 of the family's 1533-position model. The record is from RNAcentral.
ACGGAGGGGGCGAGCGUUGUCCGAAGUUACUGGGCGUAAAGCGCGUGUAGGCGGGUUGUUAAGUCCGCUGUGAAAGCCCGGAGCUCAACUCCGGAGGGUCGGUGGAUACUGGCAAUCUUGAAGGUGCUAGGGGGAGAUGGAAUUACCGGUGUAGCGGUGAAAUGCGUAGAGAUCGGUAGGAACACCAGUGGCGAAGGCGGUCUCCUGGGGUAGUCUUGACGCUGAGGCGCGAAAGCUGGGGGAGCGAACGGGA